GCUUAACCGUAAACUUUAACUUACAUAUUAAUCGCCAGGGAACUACGAGCAAAGCUUAAAACCCAAAGGACUUGACGGUACCCCAUAUCCACCUAGAGGAGCCUGUCCUAUAAUCGAUAAUCCCCGUUUAACCUCACCACCUUUAGCUACUCAGCCUGUAUACCUCCGUCGUCAGCUUACCACGUGAGCGAACAUUAGUGAGCUUAAUGUCUAUACAUCAAUACGUCAGGUCAAGGUGCAGCAUAUGAGGUGAGAAGAGAUGGGCUACACUUUCUCUAUUAGAAAAUACGAAAAACUAUUUAUGAAACUUAGUUUGAAGGCGGAUUUAGAAGUAAAGAGAAACUAGAGCGUUCUCUUUAACUAGGCACUGGGGUGUGUACACACCGCCCGUCACCCUCUUCAAAGCUAACUUUAAGUUUUUAACAAAAAUAAUGCUACUAUAGAAGAGGCAAGUCGUAACAUGGUAAGUAUACCGGAAGGUGUGCUUGGAAA
This 492-nucleotide ribosomal RNA is filed under the name Physalaemus centralis (central dwarf frog). RNAcentral describes it as "partial small subunit ribosomal RNA". It matches the Rfam family "Bacterial small subunit ribosomal RNA", at positions 794 to 1522 of the family's 1533-position model. Lineage: Eukaryota; Metazoa; Chordata; Amphibia; Anura; Leptodactylidae. The record is from RNAcentral.